This 839-nucleotide ribosomal RNA is filed under the name uncultured bacterium. Its description in RNAcentral is "partial 16S small subunit ribosomal RNA". It matches the Rfam family "Bacterial small subunit ribosomal RNA", at positions 101 to 952 of the family's 1533-position model. The record is from RNAcentral.
AACGGNNGAGUANUACNUGAGCGNUGNGNCCUUGANUCUGGNAUAANCGCUGGANACGGCNNCUAAUACCGGAUACGACCAUCNGAUGCNUCUCCUGGUGGUGGAAAGAACUUCGGUCANNNAUCAGCUCACGGCCUAUCAGCUUGUUGGUGAGGUAACGGCUCACCAAGGCGACGACGGGUAGCCGGCCUGAGAGGGUGACCGGCCACACUGGGACUGAGACACGGCCCAGACUCCUACGGGAGGCAGCAGUGGGGAAUAUUGCACAAUGGGCGCAAGCCUGAUGCAGCAACGCCGCGUGAGGGACGAAGGCCUUCGGGUUGUAAACCUCUUUUAGCAGGGAAGAAGCGAGAGUGACGGUACCUGCAGAAAAAGCACCGGCUAACUACGUGCCAGCAGCCGUGGUAAUACGUAGGGUGCAAGCGUUGUCCGGAAUUAUUGGGCGUAAAGAGCUCGUAGGCGGUCUGUCACGUCUGCUGUGAAAACCCGAGGCUCAACCUCGGGCUUGCAGUGGGUACGGGCAGACUAGAGUGCGGUAGGGGAGAUUGGAAUUCCCGGUGUAGCGGUGGAAUGCGCAGAUAUCAGGAGGAACACCGAUGGCGAAGGCAGAUCUCUGGGCCGUAACUGACGCUGAGGAGCGAAAGCAUGGGGAGCAAACAGGCUUAGAUACCCUGGUAGUCCAUGCCGUAAACGUUGGGAACUAGAUGUGGGGACCAUUCCACGGUCUCCGUGUCGUANCUAACGCAUUAAGUUCCCCGCCUGGGGAGUACGGNCGCAAGGCUAGAACUCAAAGGAAUUGACGGGGGCCCGCACAAGUGGCGGANCAUGCNNAUUANUUC